GCUUUCGUGGUGUAACGGCAGCACAUUCGGCUCGAAUUCUAGAGGUCCAGGUGUUCGAGUCCCGGCGAGGGCA
This 73-nucleotide transfer RNA is filed under the name Stegodyphus mimosarum. It matches the Rfam family "tRNA". Rfam says of the family: Transfer RNA (tRNA) molecules are approximately 80 nucleotides in length. Their secondary structure includes four short double-helical elements and three loops (D, anti-codon, and T loops). Lineage: Eukaryota; Metazoa; Arthropoda; Arachnida; Araneae; Eresidae. The record is from Rfam by way of RNAcentral.